Long non-coding RNA from Polypterus senegalus (gray bichir), 603 nucleotides. RefSeq lists it as uncharacterized. Lineage: Eukaryota; Metazoa; Chordata; Cladistia; Polypteriformes; Polypteridae. The record is from RefSeq and is a predicted model, not a curated record. The transcript is spliced from 3 exons.
GUCAGAUAAUUCAGGCAUAUAUCUUUAGGGCAAAGGUGCCCUUAUUGUGGUAGAUCGUCUCCUAAACAAAUUGCUAUAAGUUACCAGAAUUUCCACCUUAUCCAAUUUUAAAACAGGAAGUGGCAGCUUAAAAGGAGAGAAGAAAACAGAGAAGAAGACAACAUUAGGGACGAAACUUUGCCACCCAUAACUUGUACAUUCAACCACGUCUAAAGGAUUAUGAAUUACAAAGUGAUGAGAAGCUGUCCAGUGAGGGCAACUAAGCCCCAUCCUGAAGACCUGUCCCUUCCCCAGAAGAAACGGGGUCUGACCAGGAGCAGUGUCCCCACAUGUUGGCCGUUCCCAAAUCUGAUAUCCUCAACCAAGCAUUAGAAAAGCCAAAUAGACUGGCAGAAGGAAAGCCUGCCUAAGACUCUGCCUAUUACAAGACUUCAUUUCCGGCCAUGAUCCCACCCCUUCCUGUCUCCCCUGUAUCUAACCAAACCCAUUAAUCCUCUUGUUUAGUCUAUUGGUGACUCAGUCUUGAAUGAUCAUUUGUUUUUUUGUUGCAAUUACCACAGUAUAUGGGGUGGACUCCCCAAACCUUUAUACUUGUUUUCUGUG